GAAAUUUUUACAAUCAGUAGCGAUGGAGAAGGAAUUGCCCGAAACAAAAUCCAUAACUUUGUUCCCAACAAAACUUCUUGCAAAUUAACCAGAAAACUUCGUAGAAACCCUAGUUGGACCUUGGAAAUAAGGGUUAGGUCCUAUUUUUUCCUCAGAGACGAAGAAGAAAUGUUAUGUGCCGUCCGGCCAUGGCCAUGGCCGUGCCUCAUUUCCUUGGUCAGGCAUCUGAUGUUGCCAUUUUCUAGCUGCCAUGGUUCUGUAGAAGCCAUUUGUUGCACUCUCUAAAAGGAGAAAACAAAGUUUAUAAUCCUCUGUAUGCAAUUAAGAUAUGUGUGACCUGUGCAUGGAGUAAUGAUUCUUGUUUGGUUCUUGGAGUGAGCUGAUUUGUUUGUGUAUAUAUACGCCUUAUACC
RNAcentral lists this long non-coding RNA (412 nucleotides) under Olea europaea subsp. europaea. Lineage: Eukaryota; Viridiplantae; Streptophyta; Magnoliopsida; Lamiales; Oleaceae. The record is from RNAcentral.